Pelobates cultripes (western spadefoot toad) is the source of this 275-nucleotide non-coding RNA. Lineage: Eukaryota; Metazoa; Chordata; Amphibia; Anura; Pelobatidae. The record is from the annotation of a GenBank genome assembly.
GUGAGGGGGUGACUAGUGACAGAGUGAGGGGGUGACUAGUGACACAGUGAGGGAGGGGGUGACUUGUGACAGAAGGAGGGAGGGAGUAGUGACAGAGGGAGGUGGUGACUAGUGACAGAGUGAGGGAGGGAAGGGUGUGACUAGUGACAGUCACCACCUCCUUCACUCUGUCACUAGCCACCCCCUCCCUCACUCUGUCACUGUGUCACCCCCUUCCUCACUCUGUCACUAGUCACCCUCUCUCUCACUCUGUCACUAGUCACCCCGUCCCUCAC